AGGAGUCAGUGCUGUGAGGAGCUGACCGUGAGAAAUCAUUGAGAAGGAAACUACCACAUCUUCUCAAAGGAACCACCUCCUGCCUGUGAGUCUGCAGCCAAAGCUUUGCAGUGAGGAGAAAAUGCAGCACAGCCAGGAGAGUGCUGGGCUCCAGAAAGCAUUUCAGCCUGUGGAGAGCUGUGCUGUUCUUUAGGAGAUGCUGAAUUCUGCAGCUUUGUGUGCAUUUAUUCAGAGCCUUCAGUUUUGUCAUUUCAUCAGCUAGUGGAUGAAAUGUUUCUUUAAAGCUGUUUUUACCGACAGAGGAACAAAUAGAGUCAACUCUGUGUAAAGCUGCUACAGAGCCCUAGAAUGGACAUAAGUAUAAGGAAUAAAUAAUGGACCGCCUAUGAGUUAUUGGAUUCUAGUGAGUUGUGCUCAGGGGACUCCUGGCAGAGCCACUUUUGCCAUGGUUGCUACAGAAUGAGCUCCACAGCCCUCCAGAGUGGGGGUGGCUGUUGUAGUGUGUUGUAAUGUCCUGUUUUAGACUUCCGGGUCCCGGGUCCCUUCCCAGGUGUGCCUA
Zonotrichia leucophrys gambelii is the source of this 559-nucleotide long non-coding RNA. RefSeq lists it as uncharacterized. The record is from RefSeq and is a predicted model, not a curated record. Lineage: Eukaryota; Metazoa; Chordata; Aves; Passeriformes; Passerellidae. The transcript has 5 exons.